UCAAAACCACGGGUAAAAAUGUUGGGCUAGAAAACAGAUUCUACAGAAAAAAUUGAGACACAAUGGUUCUGUUGAUAAUUCAAUGUUGGUGAAGAUGUGUCCAGGAGAAGGUCAGAUUUGCAUUCACUGAAGUGGAUCAUAUCAUUUUGGAUGAGGGAAGUCAUACAUUUACAGAUCCAUGGAUUUUGUUGUUCGUUUUCUUCAAUUGGUUUCCCUGUAUAUGGUGUUCACUUUGCUGUUCAUAUGAUCUUUUGAUGUAACUUCAGCUUCUCAACUAAGUGUGCACAAUGCCACCACAAACUUGCACACCACUUUCUCUGGUGGAAUAGAGUAAGUUAAUAAUAUUGCUAACAUGGUAAAAGUUGAAACGUCUUCUCUUUCUAGUAAAUUGCAAAACCUUUAGAAUCAAUUCAAUCCAAUACGACUGCUAGAGAUGCGAUAGUUUUGUUGAAGCACAAAAUUCGGGAAAAUCUAUUGCUAAAACGUACCAUAAAGGAGAGAGCUGCUGAUCAUGCACUUCCCUUGAAGACUAUAUCCUUGGGAUGGACCACUGAGGAAGAACUAUCGCUCUAUAAAUACAUGCCUACAGCAGAGAGAAGAAAUUAUGUUCAUGUUUGAAAGAGAUGGCUCUGCAAAAGGAAUACUUUUCAACAUGUUCACGCCGUUUUUGGAUUUGAUACAAUAUUCUCUUCAGAAGGAUUGUGAGAUUUAUUAUCAAGGAUACAAUAGAAGAGACAAUCUUAGAGUCGCAAGAGAAAAUGAAAUAUCUUCAAAGG
This is a long non-coding RNA of Solanum stenotomum, 776 nucleotides long. RefSeq lists it as uncharacterized. NCBI's taxonomy places the organism in Eukaryota, Viridiplantae, Streptophyta, Magnoliopsida, Solanales, Solanaceae. The record is from RefSeq and is a predicted model, not a curated record. The transcript is spliced from 5 exons.